GGGGAUUUAGCUCAGUGGUAGAGCGCUUGCGCUUAGCAAGCGCAAGGCCCUGGGUUCGGUCCCCAGCUCCG
RNAcentral lists this transfer RNA (71 nucleotides) under Rattus norvegicus (Norway rat). It matches the Rfam family "tRNA". From Rfam's summary of the family: Transfer RNA (tRNA) molecules are approximately 80 nucleotides in length. The record is from Rfam by way of RNAcentral. Lineage: Eukaryota; Metazoa; Chordata; Mammalia; Rodentia; Muridae.